GGGGUGGGGUGAGGUGGGGUGGGGUAGGGUGGGGUGAGGUAGGGUGGGGUGAGGUAUCGUAGGGUGGGGUAGGGUGAGCUGAGGUAGGGUGGGUGAGGUAGGGUGAGGUGUGGUGAGGUAGGGUGGGGUGAGGUAGGGUGGGGUGAGGUGGGGUGAGGUGUGGUGAGGUAGGGUGGGGUGAGGUAGGGUGAGGUGAGGUAGGGUGAGGUAGGGUGGGGUGAGGUAGAGCGAGGUGUGGUGAGGUAGGGCGAGGUGUGGUGAGGUAGGGCGGGGUAGGGCGAGGUAGGGUAGGAUGGGGUGAGGUAGGGUGGGGUGAGGUAGGGUGGGGUAAGGUAGGGUAGGGUGAGGCAGGGUGGGGUGAGGUAGGGUAGGGUGAGGUAGGGUGGGG
Molecule: long non-coding RNA, 388 nt
Organism: Oncorhynchus tshawytscha (Chinook salmon)
Lineage: Eukaryota; Metazoa; Chordata; Actinopteri; Salmoniformes; Salmonidae
Source: Ensembl